RNAcentral lists this long non-coding RNA (2212 nucleotides) under Homo sapiens (human). RNAcentral describes it as "HSALNT0342921". The record is from RNAcentral. Lineage: Eukaryota; Metazoa; Chordata; Mammalia; Primates; Hominidae.
CUCAGAGCUGGCAAGUCGUCCCAGGGAAGACAACGGCCUUCCUGGAGGGAGGGAACCUUGUGGUUAGGCGCAUGGGGUGCGAAGCAGGGCCUCUACUUGGCCGACGCAGCUAGAAGACUAAGGUCAGGGGCAUUCUGGAUGCAGCCCACAAAGCUAGCUCUCUGUGGCACUGAGCAAGAUCAUCUCAGCCUCUCCUGAACUGUGACCAACUGGCUUACUCAAGGGACUGGAUCUGCUGUCCCGACAUGAUGGCAAGCUGCAGCACAUCAUGCAGAUUAAAGUUCAGCCUGCCUCAGACUCAGGAUAAAAACACAUUUGGGACAGUCUCGCUCAGCCUCAUUGCAGAGACAAGAAAUGUAUGAAAAGAAAGUACAGAGAAAAAAAAAGAAUGGAAUACACAUGAAUGCCGAACCACAUUGGAUAUGUAGCUGUUCAUGAAGAUAUUCCAGGGAAGGCCUAUCUAGUAGAGCCUCAAAUCUAUUUGAAUACAAAUGGCACUCAUUAAGGACAUCUGUCUUCUGUAAUGUCUACACAAAGUCUUACCGGGGUCUUCUUGGCUCUUAUUGACGGCUGAUGAAGGAGGGGUUUAUAAAGAAAACAAGCCAAAACCUGAAUAACUUGCUACUGAGAGCAGCACACAUAUUUUCCCAAAGUGCAAAGUUGAGAAGAAGUACAAAGCUUUGUUAAUAUUCUGAACAGUACUGCUUAGUAUGAUCUAAUUGAUGGAUUUUCCAUGGACUCCCUAGAGACUGAAAAAGGUUUGACUGUCAGGAAACUUUUCUUGUGUUUAUUCUUCAAUUUUCCUUUUCCUACUUUCCAAUCAUCAUUCCCUAUUAACAUCCCUUGAUGGGUCACCUUAAGUGAUUAUUCUUUUUAAUGGCAUUUAUAACGUUUAAUAUUUCCCUGUUAAUUUCUAUUCCGACAAAGUACAUAUUUUUUUAAUCUUCACUCAUAACAUUAAUAAAUUUUUCCAACAUUUUAAAGCUCAGUUAACAUUUCCUUAUAUAUGCCUCUGUCUUUAAAAUAUGAGAUCUGAAUGUACUGGUAUCACUAGAAUUAUCUACAGAGUUCUAAUGUGAUGGAAAUUGUGCUACAAAAAUUUGUUCUUACAUAAUUUGCUUCAACGGAAUUCCUCCUGAACUAAAUACUUAGUCUUUACAUUCUUUAAAAUAACUAAAAUUUCCCAGAGGAAAGUCUGAAUUGUUCAUUUAACCUUGUGUGAUGUGUGCUGUGUGUAGCUGAAACAGCAAAGUGGACACACCUGCACCCUUAACAUUUUUGACUUUUUUUUUUUUUUUUUUAAAGAAUCAAGUUUCGUUUUUGUCACCCAAGCUGGAGUGCAGUGGUACAAUCUCCGGUCACUGCAACCUCCGCCUCCCGGGUUCAAGCGACUCUCCUGCCUCAGCCUCCCAAGUGGCUGGGAUUACAUGUGUGCACCACAAAGCCUGGGUAUUUUUUUUUUUUCAUUUUUAGUAGAGACGUGGUUUCACUAUGUUGGGCAGGCUGGUCUUGAACUCCUGAACUCAGGUGAUCCUUCCCCGCUAGGCCUCCCAAAGUGCUGGAAUUUCAGGCCUGAGCCACAGCACCUGGCCAACUGUGACUCAUUUUUAAAGCGGUUUGGCAAUAAUGCUAUAUACGUAUAAUGGUUUUGAAUAAAAUAUACAACUAUACAUGGCCUGUUAUCUUCUUAUUUUAGACAGAAUAAUCUUAGUCUUGUACUUUCAUGUAUUAGGCUGAUAGCCAUGAGAUUUGGGGAGGAAAAAAAUAGGAUAAAAUAGGACUCACUCAUUUCAAGAAAUAGAGUUAGUUUUCUAUGCAAGCAUUUUCUCCCCUUCUCCUUAGCCCACCAAAGUGGUAAAUGAGACUUCCAGCCAUGAGGCUGUUUGCACCUCUGUCUGGGAGGAGACUUCUGGAGCUUUGGUUGCUGCUAAUGACUUGGAGGGGCUUUGAAGGCCCCCUUGAAGAUGUCACGCAUGACCUCUGGACCCUUGGUAUCUUUCAAGAAUCCUUAUGAGAUACUAACUCAUUUCGUUUAUAAUAGGUGAAAACAGAUCAUGUAUUUUUAAACCAGAUAAUGCCUAAGUUAUAUUACUCUAGAAUUCAUAGAAAAAAUAAAAUAGCCGAGAUCUUUAAAAAGACUGUAAUGUGGUAUUAGUGGACUGUCUUUUUUUUUGUUUAUGGAGAGAAAAAAAUUAUUUGUAAGUUUUUUUUU